Molecule: long non-coding RNA, 557 nt
Organism: Dermacentor albipictus
Lineage: Eukaryota; Metazoa; Arthropoda; Arachnida; Ixodida; Ixodidae
Source: RefSeq, a predicted model, not a curated record
GUGAAGACAGCUAGGUGUAGGUUGUAAAAAGAAAACGAUUACGCUUGAAGAAACUACGGAUGUCGAAGAAUACACUUUGUGUUCAGAGCUUGCUUUGUGAAGAUCUGCUCGAGUGUGAUCCGCACGAAUACAAGCGCCUACUGCGCGUCAGCAGCACGCAGUUUUUCGAACUUCUCGCCCGCGUUCAACAUACAAUCGAGUGGCAAGAAACCAUCGUGAGACCAUCUGUGCCAGCGAAGACACGGCUUCAAAUCACUCUUCGCUUUCUCGCCGCAGGAGAAACGCACUACUCUUAAGCUGACAGUUCAGGGAGGACACUCAACUGUCAACCAGCUCAUAAAAGAGACAUGUGUGGCAAUCUGCCUGGAGCUGAAAGACGAAUUCUUGAAGACCCCCAAGACUGACGGAGAGUGGUCUAGAGCCAUGCAAGACAUCAAAGAAAAGUGGCAGUUCCCCAAUUGUAUUGGUGCUAUAGAUGGAAAACAUGUGUGCAUCAUCAAGCCAAAUAUUCAGGCUCUUUGUAUUUCAACUACAAUAAAACCUUCAGCAUAGUGCUA